CAGUCGCCGCGGUAAAACGGAGGGCGCGAGCGUUACCCCGAUUUACUGGGCGUAAAGGGCGCGUAGGCGGCCUGGGGCGUCCCAUGUGAAAGGCCACGGCUCAACCGUGGAGGAGCGUGGGAUACGCUCAGGCUAGAGGGUGGGAGAGGGUGGUGGAAUUCCCGGAGUAGCGGUGAAAUGCGCAGAUACCGGGAGGAACGCCGAUGGCGAAGGCAGCCACCUGGUCCACUUCUGACGCUGAGGCGCGAAAGCGUGGGGAGCAAACCGGAUUAGAUACCCCAGUAGUCCCUGUCUCUUAUAC
Molecule: ribosomal RNA, 301 nt
Filed under: uncultured bacterium
Lineage: Bacteria
Description: partial 16S ribosomal RNA
Rfam family: Bacterial small subunit ribosomal RNA
Source: RNAcentral